This 1133-nucleotide long non-coding RNA is filed under the name Amphibalanus amphitrite. RNAcentral describes it as "uncharacterized LOC122377097". The record is from RNAcentral. Lineage: Eukaryota; Metazoa; Arthropoda; Thecostraca; Balanomorpha; Balanidae.
CUUACACAUUUUAUGGGCACCGAUGAACUCUGAAGUCCGGUCGCCCUAUAAUCACAAAUCAUUAAUUACAUUACACGUACCAUACAACGAUGAUAAUUCAGCUUAGCGCGAAAUAUUCUUGAUCGAAUCGGUGCUGCUCAGUGGCCCUUCCCUAAACCGAAAACAUCAUGCAGCAAGAAGUGUGCUAAAUUUUUGCGUUCCGCUGUGUUUCAGGUCCGGUCGUAUCAACCUCGUCCGCGGUCCGGCUGGUUCUCCGUUCUACGCUGUGGCCUGUGGUUUCUCGAGGAAGAAACCAACGCAAAGUCGACAGUUUAUCCGGUGUUCCGCAGGCUUCUGCGUCGAUCUGAGCUAACAAGGCUGGCUACAUGGGCAGAGCGGCAGCUGCCAGCUGCCUUUGGCUGUCUAGUGGCUAUACCGACAUAGAAGAUAGAGCAACCUACAGAACGAGGCGGAGCGCCCGCCGCUGCAGAUGGCGCCACCGGGACUGGCGAGCGACCUCCAGCAGCUGGCGCCGCCCUCGGUGGAGCUCACGCUGGCACAGAUGGCAGCACCGUCGACUGGUCACCGGCGUCGGUGUUUCUCGAGCCGCUGAACCGCCCGGCCUGCACUGUCUAUCACAUUCACGCCCAUCUAUCAUAAGUUAUUAGUGCCCUCGGCGGAGCUCGCCGGUAACAUAGAUGGCAGCACCAUCGCUAGAAGACCUCGACGGGCGUGGCGGUCCUUGUGAAAUGUGAACUAUAUAACUAAUAUAGUGUAGUGAGCAUCACGAGCGUGCUACUUACCACCAUGAGACCACUGUCCGACUCACUUCUCUACCAGCUCAGUACCCAGUACCCACUGUCUGUCAGUUCCGAGGAUUGAUAAGAACUCGGAGCUUUGACGUGAUCGCCGUUUUUGUCACGAAUCUGAUGUCGUGAAUGUGAUGAUUGGCGAUACUUGAUGAUGCUGUGCCGAUCUCAAGCGAUAUUGUUUUGUCGUUCACUAUUCCCUUUUAGCUCGAGGAAGAGGACAUUGAGUUGAAAUUGUGGGUAUGACCUUAGGCAAGGGCUACAUAAAUACUGUGAACUCAUAGGCAUCGAAGGAUGCGCAGUUGUUCGCUUAUUGGAUCUCAAUUUGUGUCACUGGCAGUGCAU